AAAACAACACAUCAGCUGAUGAUGACCACAGAGACUGGCAGGACUGAGGACCCAAUAUUCUUUUUCCAGCCUGGUAGAGAGUGAAUAGUGAGGUUCCAAAACUAAACAAGGGAGGUCAGGAAAACUUUCCAACCUUACCUAACAAGGAAGUGUCAUGGAAAGUGUUGGGUGGUGAUGGUGCAAAAGGAACUUGAGGAGGAGGGAAGAAAAAGCACUUCUCAAAGCUGGGGAAGAGAAGAUAUGGAGAAAGCCCUAAAUUCCUCAUUGAAGGCCAAUCUCAGAAGUGGAGGGGUUAUGAUCUGUGCUUCAGUCAAAGUCAUCAUUGUGCAGAGCCUUGCUGAUAUUCUGUGACAGACCCGAAUUUACUACACGUGCUCUGAAGCGAUCACCUUUUCUAGAGUUUCUUCUACCUGCUUUCGAGUUGGAUGACAAGAAGCAAAGACCAACAGAUCCUCUAGACCAGUGUCAGAAAUGAGAGAGACCUUCGAGAGAAAACAUCCAGUUCCAGAGUGACCAGACUUUCAGGAUAGGAAAACUGAAAACAAAAUUCUGAGCUUGCUUUUAUUUUGCUAACUAAGGAUGAAAAAUUUUUUUCCAUUUACUAUCACUAUUUCAUAAACGACAGGAUGUUUUAACACUGAAAACAAAGGUAGAAAGAAUCAACUUUUAAAUUGAAUGACUUCAACUCUACAAAAUACUGUAUUUGUUUUCUUCAUCUCACAAUAGCCCGGUAUUUGACAACCACUGAUGUGGUCCAACUCCUUAUUAUAAGAUGAAGAAAAAAGUUCAUAGGUGGAAGUGUUUUGCCUGAGGUUACACCAGGCCAGCCUUUUCCUGGCUUUACAGGGACUAAUUACCCUUGGGUUCUAUAGGUCUUGGAACCAAAUGAACUAAGGAAGCUCUAAAGAUGAAGGAUGUGUUGGUUAUCUAUUAUUGCCUCACAGCUCCAAAUGCACUCUUCAAUACCUGUAAUAUACAAGAGAAUUCCUUUAAACAUUUCUCCACUAAAGGGAGUGUGAUGUUAAGAUUUCUCAGUAGAGGGCAAUGGAGGCACAUUCCAGGACAAAGAGGCUUCCCCAGGUUUCUGGGCGAGGCUGGUGUCAGCCCUGUGAGUGUGAAGAUUUCCAUCCAGUGGAGCCUGCCCCAGCUGUGGGCACAGAAAAACUGUCCAUCUACAACCUUACAGCCUCUUCUUGUGAUAACCUUUCCAUAGCUCUCUUGACAUGGAAACCAAAGCUCCUGCCUGGCCCACACACAGGUACUUUUGCCUAGAGGGUCAUACACAGGAUAGCCAUUCCUUCUGCAAGUUUCCAUGUGGCCCACAUGCUCUGAAGGCCCCUGCCCUGCUGGUGUCCAGGCUCCCACUGCAUAUCCACACCAGUGGCUGCUGACUGACUGGCUGCUCUCCAGCCACAAUCUAGAGGUUAGCUGUUGCUUACCUAGCAACUGGUAGACCAGCCCUGGCCUGGCCAAACCAUCUUACAUUGCUGCUUAUCCAGUGGGCUGAAACAUACCUUCUCCAACGAGGUCUGAACUCCUUCCUUGAGUACUCUCUCUGAACCCUCGCAUACUGUAUAGGAUUUCCUUUUACCUUUUUUUUUUUUUCUUUUUUUUUGAAAUGGAGUUUUGCUCUUGUUGCCUAGGCUGGAGUACAAUGGCGUGAUCUCAGCUCACUGCAACCUCCACCUCUUAGGUUCAAGCGAUUCUCCUGCCUCAGUCUCCCGACUAGCUGGAUUUACAGGCACCUGCCACCAUGCCCAGCUAAUUUUUUGUAUUUUUAGUAGAGAUAGGGUUUCACCAUGUUGGUCAGGCUGGUCCUGACCUCAGGUGAUCCACCCGCCUCGACCUCCCAAAGUGCUGGGAUUACAGGUGAGAGUCACCCUGCCAGGCCCCUUUUGUCUUAUAGAUACUGCUUUAUCAUAGUUAAUAGUUCUUUGUAUUAAACUUUGAUUUUAUCCACUAUGUGAUUUCUAUUUCCUGAUUGGACCCAGCUCACUACUGAAGCUGAGCAUGAAGAGCUCUGUACAGCCUUCUGAAAAGGCACAAAGACAAGAGGUUGCUGUUUGACACUCAAAAGAUUCAUGCUUAAAAAAUGAAAAAAGACCGUUCCUUCUCAUUCUAUUAUCUAACAAAUUCAUACAACAUCAUUAUUUAUGUGCAAGGCACUUUGGUAGCUAAGUGCGUAACUUAGAACAAGAUGGGAAGAGAUCAGUGCCCUAAGAUGGCACUGAUGGGGGUGGGAUUUUGGCUGGAAGAGACAGCAUUUGAGAAGGACUUUCACAGAUAGGAAGAAAUAGAACAUACAGGAGGAAAAUCAGAGGGGGAAGUCCAGAUGGAAGAAACCUCCGUGCCUUUUGCUCAGGACAAAAGUUGCUGCAGAGGUUCUGAAUUUGAGCUGCCUCAGCUGUAUCCUCUCUGGAGAGAGUUGAUAAUGGGAUUGCUCAAGCAGUCUUGUAAACAGAGAAGAAGUGUCCUCCUGGAAAAAGAGCUGGGCUUUCAUGUCAUGUCACCACACAAAGCAGAAACCCAGCACGUUUUGCUUUAUGGUUUAAGAUUUUGUUACAUUCAAUGUAAUUUGCUAAAUACGACAAAACUACCAACCCCCCAUCGUUUAUAAUUAUCUAACUAAUCAUUCUGAUUUCUGGAGAAAAACCAAAGGUAGCCAAUGCCAAGGCCCCUGGUUUAAGAACCGAGUCCCCUCUCCGAUUUCCACACUGUAGAUGCUGAUUCCAGAUUGCAGCUGGGCCUGCUGACCUGAGACAGGGCCCGUGGUCUGGAAAGGAUCCAUGUGAGGGAGACAGGACGAGGACCUUACAGUCUGAGAGAACACAGUAUGGCGAUGACAGGGAGCAGGGAUCCCGGGUGGUACCCGAGGAAGGGACUGUCCUGUGGUGGAUGCUGUUCCUCUUAUCUGUACCCUAAGCCACCGUCAAUUCCUAGCCCUGUGUGGGUGUCGGGAGCUGCUCAGGGUCUCCUCUCUGACAGAGGGAUGAUGUUCUCAGUGAUGAGCCACUGGCCUUUGCUGUCAGC
Molecule: long non-coding RNA, 3030 nt
Organism: Pongo pygmaeus (Bornean orangutan)
Lineage: Eukaryota; Metazoa; Chordata; Mammalia; Primates; Hominidae
Exons: 3
Source: RefSeq, a predicted model, not a curated record